AGUGUUGAAAACAUGAAGCUGCUAUGUACUAAGUCAGAAAACUUUGCCAUUUGGAAACCUUGAACUGGAGAUUACACACAUUGCCUGGGUGAAUUGUAAUAAUCUAAAGACGGAAUCCACAUAUAAGAGAAUAACUUUAAUUAGUUCGUUUAAAAGGCCAGUCCUUUGAUUAUGUAAAGGCUGUAGUUCCCAUGCCCAUUUACUUUAUGGUAACUCCCGUUGAACUCUUGCCACUCAAUUUGGAUGUAACUCUUAACUAUAGCACAGUGUAUGUACACAAACCUUAGUUUCAAAAACUUCCUCCCCACCACCAAGACCACAGCACAGUCAUAAGGAGGAGAUGGCACACUUUCAUGUUUGUUUUUAUUUCUGUUUACAACCGACUGCAGUUUACCAUUUACAUCCAAACCCAGACAAACUGUAGUUAGCCUCAGCUAUGGUUUAGGGAGGAUGCCAACCUUGUAAACCAUGGUUUGAAGUUGGCUUUUUCCUUUAACCACAGUUAAGAGUAACCACAGUUUGUCCGAGUCUAUAUGUUACGGUAAACUGCAGCUGAUUGGAAUGAUUAGCAAAACACCCCAAAUUCCUUGUUGCAGCUGUCUCGGUGCCUCAGGUUACUUAAAAAGAAUCAAUUGAUUUAAUUUAAGAACAUCUGUAAGCAGUGUGCGACAGUGACAAUUUUAAGGUAAAGCAGUAAACAUUGCAAUGUACUUCAAACUGAAGCACUUAUUUUGCUCUCAUUGCUUUUAGUGCCUAUUACUUCCAAGUGUAAAAUACAUCAGCUUAAUUAUAUUGUGGAGUGCGCUGCCAAAAGGGCAUGCGUAAAUUGAGAAGUAUUGCAGGAGGGAUGAUUGUGACAAUGAGCCUCUUGGAAAAUGCUAUAGACAUGAAUUCACGAUCGAUCAGGAUACUUUUAUCCUUGAGGAAAAUGUUGAUGGGCUGACGGUGCCAACUUCAUUAAUCCUUUUAGGUAUUUAAAAUGUUCUAUAUUAGAGCUGCUCUGAUACAGAAGUUCAACCAUUUCUUCUUCUUGGCAAGUUAAAAUUCAGCAGCAGUUCUUAUCCUUGGCUUUUCUCUCCAUGGUAGAGAAACAGUACUGCCAAUCAGUUGGCACUCCAUUCCUAAAUACUCUGCCAAAUGAGUCAGGAUACACUUGGACUUCCAUUGAAAAGGGGUCUUCAGUGAUUUACCUCCAUUUGGCACAUUUUCCAACAGUGAAGUUGGAAAACAACUAGCUUUGGGGAGUUUUGGAUUUCAAAACUUAUUGGGGUGGGGGAAAUGUGGAACACCUGAUUUCACCAAAGGGUGUUCCGUCUCUCAUUACUUUUAUAUGACUGUUUAAAGGCCGCCAAUCAAAGCUGAACCCUCUUAGCCUGGGGGAGAAACUAACAUUGGUCCCAUAUGUUUGUUCAAAACAGGAUAGGUGUUUCUUUGAACGCUAUAUUCAAACACUCUCCACUUUCUUGGUACAGUGAACAUAGAAUACAGAACAGUCUUCUUUGUGUGCAAAAGUAAUGCACUUUCUUUCCAUAAAAAAACCAACCCAUGAAUUGUAAAGGGUCAUGGAGAACACAAAGGAACACACUCGAUUUAGGAGCACUGCUCCUGUCAAGUUUAAACUGCAUAGUAGCACUCCAUUCCCUCAAACAAGUAAGAAUGAUUUUUUUUAUUUUCAUUUAAAAGAAGCAAGAGUUACUGCACAGUGUGAUUGACUUAUGAACUGCAGAGAAAUCUCGGGAGCUAAGCAGUGGGGCAUCUUGAUAGUGGAUGGAAGCUUAAAAUCUUGGUUUGGAUUUUGCUAAAGCAAAACGAGCCAUAUAAGAUGGAGAACAUGCCAAAACAAUAGAGAUCUCUUGUUGAUUAACUAGAGGUGUGAUACAUAAGGAAAUCCAUUUGUGUUAAAAGAGUUUUUUCUGGAGUUUGUACUUAAAAGUACCAGUAGUUUUUUAAAAAUUAUAUAAGGCUGUAUUUCUAUGCCACACACUUAACAUGCAUCACGGAAACAUCUAAAUAUUUUUGGAUGUUUGGAUAAGAAAUGUUGCGUCAUCCAUGAGGUUGUUUUUGCAAUCUACCCUAAUAUUUUGGAUUUCUAGGCGGUCGCGUAAGAUUUUAGGAGGCUAGGCACUUAGGAGGUUUGCGUUUUGGUUCUUACUGGUUUAUCAGCUCACUUGUUACAAAGUGAAUCACCACGAUGUUUGAAUAAGUGAAACGUAAGAGAAUACUUCUUUUUCUGGAAAAAGUUUGCUUUUAUGCUUCCCCUUUCCUAAGGGGGGGGGGAACACUUCACUUUUGCAAAUGGAUAGGAUCAUUCCUCAUGGUGGAAGAAGAACAAGUACUAAACCUACUUUUCACUCCCAUGACUAGACUGAGCUUAACUCUUAUGUGAAUGCAUUUCUGUGUGAAGUAUGAAUGACAACUGUUUUGGCUUACAAUGAUGAUAUUUUGAGAAAUUGCGUUAUUGUAUUUUUUUUUUGUAAUAAUAAUAAUAAUAAUAAUGUGUGUGUGUGUGUGUGUGUGUGUGUGUGUGUAAAAAUACCAGGCUGUGAAUAAAAAGCUCUGCCAUUAAUAGGGACAAUCAAUCCUUCACAUUGAAGUGUGGUGUGACUUUGCUUUCCACUGCAUUUCAUCCACAGAAACCAGUUCUUCUUUAGUGUCUCAUGACUUAAAUUAUGGACAAUGCCAGAUAGUUAAAUAGUUUUGGCUACUUCCCACAGGUACAGAGCAAUGAUAACAUUCACCAGAACUAGAUACGGCCUGCAGGAAUGGGGGGCUCUGUUUAAUUCACAGGAUUUUUCAGUGAAAUGGACCAGACAUGGGAUCUUUGAGUAAGAUAGUUUUAACAUGUUACACAAGCCUGUUGCCCUGUGAUUUUGGAGUGGCUCGAAAGCAAAUGGAGAGCUCCUUUUCCCGUUGAGACAAAUGAAGCGUUCUGGUUGGUUAGAUAAGAGCUACGUCUGAGCAAAAAUGGCUUGCUGCCAUUGAAUGGGAAGUUGCUUCACUACUUCAUUUCAAACUGAGCUGGGAAGGAAGCUGAAAAUUUAAAAAUGUCUGCCAUUAGCUUUUCUGUGGCCUGAAGGAAGACUUAAGCAGAAGAUGAGGCAUCAGACCUGUUUCUUAGCUGGCCAGCUCAGUAGUUCGCAUGCCCAGAGAUUUAAACUCCUGAGCAGCCACCUGCAGGUUGCAAUGGGUACAAGCAAAUUUAGUUCCUGUUGAAUGAAUGAAUGAACUUUAUUACGGUCACAGACCAGGAUUAAACAACAACAUAUAAAUAAAAUAGCAGGAUUUUUUUUUUUAACUGAUAAAUGUUGGAGCAAAUAAGGGCAAAGAAACAAGCAUAGGAUAAAACAUCUGACUAAAAUACAAGAUUAAACACAGAUCAGAUAAUGGAUGGAUAAAAACUGAUAAAACAGAUAAGAACUAAAAACAUGCAGUUAAAACAACUAUAAGAGGCUGCAGAGUAGAGUUCCUGUUAGAAACUAGAUCUGUGACAUCAUCAACUGCC
Podarcis lilfordi (Lilford's wall lizard) is the source of this 3502-nucleotide non-coding RNA. The record is from the annotation of a GenBank genome assembly. NCBI's taxonomy places the organism in Eukaryota, Metazoa, Chordata, Lepidosauria, Squamata, Lacertidae.